Non-coding RNA from Phalacrocorax carbo (great cormorant), 529 nucleotides. NCBI's taxonomy places the organism in Eukaryota, Metazoa, Chordata, Aves, Suliformes, Phalacrocoracidae. The record is from RefSeq and is a predicted model, not a curated record.
ACCAAUAAGCGCCCGGCCCCGGCGCGCGUGAUCGGCGGCUGCCCCGCGGCGUGGCCGGUGUGUCAGCGCGGCGUGUCCGCGGCCCACGCUGGAACAGUUUUAACUACCAGAAAACAGCUCCAUCCCACUCUGCGUGGUCAGGAUCAUGCGCUUACCAGGAACUGUCUUCAGAGCCCUUCCAAAAAAGGACGUUUCCAGCAUCGAUGCGAGUGUGGGUGGAAGAGAAAGCAGCGAGUGAGGGUUGGGGGGUUCUUGUGCCCACAAAAGGCUUUGUCAGAUAAGGGAAUUUGCCGGGCGGAGGGUGUCAGACCACAGCGCCGGAGUCCGCCGCUUGUGCUGAGGCCAAACCGCUGGCGGCCAGCACAGCCCUUCGCCCCCUCCGCGUUCACCCGAUGCCCGCAGCGCCCCCCGCCCGCGCGGCCUCAGGCCGUGCUGCGGCUGCGGAGCCCCGAAGCGUCAGCGCCCCUGUGCUUCCCCACCGUAACAGCAGGUAUUUCCGUCUGAGAAGUGCAAUAAACCUGUAACUCGA